Molecule: ribosomal RNA, 465 nt
Filed under: uncultured bacterium
Lineage: Bacteria
Description: partial 16S ribosomal RNA
Rfam family: Bacterial small subunit ribosomal RNA
Source: RNAcentral
GACGAACGCUGGCGGCGUGCUUAACACAUGCAAGUCGAACGGAAAGGCCCUGCUUGCCGGGUACUCGAGUGGCGAACGGGUGAGUAACACGUGGGUGAUCUGCCCUGCACUUCGGGAUAAGCCUGGGAAACUGGGUCUAAUACCGGAUAGGAGCCAUUUUUAGUGUGAUGGUUGGAAAGUUUUUUCGGUGUAGGAUGAGCUCGCGGCCUAUCAGCUUGUUGGUGGGGUAAUGGCCUACCAAGGCGGCGACGGGUAGCCGGCCUGAGAGGGUGGACGGCCACAUUGGGACUGAGAUACGGCCCAGACUCCUACGGGAGGCAGCAGUGGGGAAUAUUGCACAAUGGGCGCAAGCCUGAUGCAGCGACGCCGCGUGGGGGAUGACGGCCUUCGGGUUGUAAACUCCUUUCACUAGGGACGAAGCUUUUUGUGACGGUACCUAGAGAAGAAGCACCGGCUAACUACGUG